This 456-nucleotide ribosomal RNA is filed under the name Thermococcus paralvinellae. RNAcentral describes it as "bacterial SSU rRNA". It matches the Rfam family "Archaeal small subunit ribosomal RNA", at positions 68 to 516 of the family's 1478-position model. Lineage: Archaea; Methanobacteriati; Methanobacteriota; Thermococci; Thermococcales; Thermococcaceae. The record is from RNAcentral.
CUUCUGGGACACCACCGGCGGACGGCUCAGUAACACGUCGGUAACCUACCCUCGGGAGGGGGAUAACCCCGGGAAACUGGGGCUAAUCCCCCAUAGGUGUGGGGUACUGGAAGGUCCCCACACCGAAAGGGGCUUCGUGCCCGCCCGAGGAUGGGCCGGCGGCCGAUUAGGUAGUUGGUGGGGUAACGGCCCACCAAGCCGAAGAUCGGUACGGGCCAUGAGAGUGGGAGCCCGGAGAUGGACACUGAGACACGGGUCCAGGCCCUACGGGGCGCAGCAGGCGCGAAACCUCCGCAAUGCGGGAAACCGCGACGGGGGGACCCCCAGUGCCGUGGCAACGCCACGGCUUUUCCGGAGUGUAAAAAGCUCCGGGAAUAAGGGCUGGGCAAGGCCGGUGGCAGCCGCCGCGGUAAUACCGGCGGCCCGAGUGGUGGCCGCUAUUAUUGGGCCUAAAGC